GGAGAAUUAGUUAAAAUUUUAUAACAUUAAUGUGUCAGGUUAGAAUUGUCUUUUUUAGAUGUUCUCUUAUACCA
RNAcentral lists this transfer RNA (74 nucleotides) under Challia fletcheri. RNAcentral describes it as "tRNA-Asp". The record is from RNAcentral. Lineage: Eukaryota; Metazoa; Arthropoda; Insecta; Dermaptera; Pygidicranidae.